Molecule: ribosomal RNA, 2986 nt
Filed under: wastewater metagenome
Description: bacterial LSU rRNA
Rfam family: Bacterial large subunit ribosomal RNA
Source: RNAcentral
UCAAGCUACCAAGGGCACACGGUGGAUGCCUUGGCGCUGGGAGCCGAUGAAGGACGUGGCAAGCUGCGAUAAGCCUCGGCGAGCUGCAAGCAAGCGUUUGAACCGGGGAUUUCCGAAUGGGGAAACCCGCCGCGGGGAAUGCCGCGGCAUCCAUGCCUGAACACAUAGGGCAUGGAAGGGAACCGGGGGAACUGAAACAUCUAAGUACCCCGAGGAAAAGAGACAAUACUGCAUUCCGUAAGUAGCGGCGAGCGAAAGCGGAGGAGCCUAAACCCUGUGCGCGUGAUAGCCUGCAGGCGUUGCGCACGGGGGGUUGUAGGAGCGAACGAGGAUCUCUGCAGGGAUCCAUCCGACUCGAAGGUCUUUAGCCGAACGGCCUGGAACGGCCGGCCACAGGGGGUGAAAGCCCCGUAGGCGAAAGGGAUCUUCGGCGGAUGGCCGCCGCCUAAGUACCGCGGGACACGAGAAAUCCCGCGGGAAUCCGGGAGGACCACCUCCCAAGGCUAAAUACUACCCAGCGACCGAUAGUGAACUAGUACCGUGAGGGAAAGGUGAAAAGCACCCCGGGAGGGGAGUGAAAUAGUACCUGAAACCGUGUUGCCUACAAACAGUGGGAGGGCUAUGGCGCGAGCCAGCCUGACCGCGUACUUUUUGUAGAACGGACCGGCGACUUACGGUGUGCGGCAAGGUUAAGCGGAUAACGCGGAGCCGAAGCGAAAGCGAGUCUUAAGAGGGCGAAUUAGUCGUACGCUGUAGACCCGAAACCGGGCGAUCUAUCCAUGGCCAGGGUGAAGCGGAAGUAACGUUCCGUGGAGGCCCGAACCCAUUAGUGUUGAAAAACUAUGGGAUGAGCUGUGGAUAGGGGUGAAAAGCCAAUCGAGCUCGGAGAUAGCUGGUUCUCCCCGAAAUAGCUUUAGGGCUAGCCUCGGGAAUAGGCUUGCGGAGGUAGAGCACUGAUCGGGCAAGGGGCCCUGAAAGGUUACCGACCCCUUUCAAACUCCGAAUGCCGCAAGCUGGUGCCCGGGAGUCAGACUGUGGGGGCUAAGCUUCAUAGUCGAGAGGGAAACAGCCCAGACCGCCGGCUAAGGUCCCAAAUUGACAGCUAAGUGGUUAAGGAUGUGGAACUGCCCAGACAACCAGGAUGUUGGCUUAGAAGCAGCCAUACAUUUAAAGAGUGCGUAAUAGCUCACUGGUCGAGUGGGUCUGCGCCGAAAAUGUCCGGGGCUCAAGCUGUCAACCGAAGCCGCGGAACUCUAAUCUAGGGUUGGUAGGGGAGCGUUGCCUGCUGGUUGAAGCACGACCGGAAGGACGUGUGGACGGCAGGGAAGUGAGAAUGCCGGUAUGAGUAGCGAAAAGGCAGGUGAGAAUCCUGCCCGCCGGAAGCCUAAGGUUUCCUGAGGAAGGUUCGUCCUCUCAGGGUAAGCCGGGGCCUAAGCCGAGGCCGAAGGGCGUAGGCGAUGGAUAACGGGUUGAAAUUCCCGUGCCGCCUCGGUCGCGCUUGAGCGAAGCGGGGACGCAGAAGGGUAGGCACAGCAGGCUGAUGGAAUAGCCUGUCCAAGCGAGUAGGGCGCCGCGUAGGCAAAUCCGCGCGGCGGAAAGCCCAAGACGCGAGUGGGUGCGGAUACGUCCGCUGAACUGGCCGAUCCCAUGCUGCCAAGAAAAGCCGCUAGCGAGCGACCAGGCGCCCGUACCGCAAACCGACACAGGUAGGCGAGGAGAGGAUCCUAAGGCGCGCGAGAGAACCCUCGUUAAGGAACUCGGCAAAAUGGCCCCGUAACUUAGGGAUAAGGGGCGCCCCGGUAGGGUGAAGGGCAACACGCCCGUAGCCUGAGGGGGCCGCAGUGAAACGGCCCGAGCGACUGUUUACCACAAACACAGGUCUCUGCUAAGUCGCAAGACGAAGUAUAGGGGCUGACGCCUGCCCAGUGCCGGAAGGUUAAGGGGAGGGCUUAGCGCAAGCGAAGGUCUGAACCGAAGCCCCGGUGAACGGCGGCCGUAACUAUAACGGUCCUAAGGUAGCGAAAUUCCUUGUCGGGUAAGUUCCGACCUGCACGAAUGGCGUAACGACUUGGGCGCUGUCUCAACGAGGGACUCGGCGAAACUGUAAGUGCACGUGAAGAUACGUGCUACCCACGACUAGACGGAAAGACCCCAUGGAGCUUUACUGCAUCCUGAGAUUGGAUUUUGGCAGGGCAUGUACAGGAUAGGUGGGAGGCUUAGAAGCAACGACGCUAGUUGUUGUGGAGCCACCCUUGGGAUACCACCCUUGUUUUGCUGGAGUUCUAACCCGCGGCCGUGAUCCGGCCGGGGGACAUUCUCAGGUGGGCAGUUUGACUGGGGCGGUCGCCUCCUAAAAGGUAACGGAGGCGCCCCAAGGUUCCCUCAGCGCGGUUAGAAAUCGCGCGCAGAGUGCAAAGGCAGAAGGGAGCUUGACUGCGAGACGUACAUGUCGAGCAGGGACGAAAGUCGGGCUUAGCGAUCAGGUGGUUCCGAGUGGAAGGGCCAUCGCUCAACGGAUAAAAGCUACCCUGGGGAUAACAGGCUUAUCUCUCCCAAGAGUCCAUAUCGACGGGGAGGUUUGGCACCUCGAUGUCGGCUCGUCGCAUCCUGGAGCUGAAGUAGGUUCCAAGGGUUGGGCUGUUCGCCCAUUAAAGCGGCACGCGAGCUGGGUUCAGAACGUCGUGAGACAGUUCGGUCCCUAUCUGUCGUGGGCGUAGGAGAUUUGAGGGGGUCGGUCCCUAGUACGAGAGGACCGGGACGGACGCACCUCCGGUGGACCGGUUGUCGCGCCAGCGGCAUAGCCGGGUAGCCGCGUGCGGUUUGGAUAAGCGCUGAAAGCAUCUAAGCGCGAAGCCAUCCCCAAGAUGAGAUCUCCCACAGGGUAACCUGGUAAGACUCCUUGAAGAACACGAGGUUGAUAGGCCGGAAGUGUAAGCGCGGCAACGCGCUGAGCGGACCGGUACUAAUAGGUCGAGGGCUUGACCUU